GACGAACGCUGGCGGCGUGCUUAACACAUGCAAGUCGAACGGAAAGGCCCUGCUUUUGUGGGGUGCUCGAGUGGCGAACGGGUGAGUAACACGUGAGUAACCUGCCCUUGACUUUGGGAUAACUUCAGGAAACUGGGGCUAAUACCGGAUAGGAGCUCCUGCUGCAUGGUGGGGGUUGGAAAGUUUCGGCGGUUGGGGAUGGACUCGCGGCUUAUCAGCUUGUUGGUGGGGUAGUGGCUUACCAAGGCUUUGACGGGUAGCCGGCCUGAGGGGGUGACCGGCCACAUUGGGACUGAGAUACGGCCCAGACUCCUACGGGCGGCAGCAGUGGGGAAUAUUGCACAAUGGGCGGAAGCCUGAUGCAGCAACGCCGCGUGCGGGAUGACGGCCUUCGGGUUGUAAACCGCUUUCGCCUGUGACGAAGCGUGAGUGACGGUAAUGGGUAAAGAAGCACCGGCUAACUACGUG
This 468-nucleotide ribosomal RNA is filed under the name uncultured bacterium. RNAcentral's name for it is "partial 16S ribosomal RNA". It matches the Rfam family "Bacterial small subunit ribosomal RNA", at positions 28 to 507 of the family's 1533-position model. The record is from RNAcentral.